CAAAAUAAAGCGUGCGAUUAAAUCCGGAAUGUCACCUGAUGAAUCGUAUGUUUCGCAUUUGCCAUGGUUUAACACAGCCCACAGAUUUUUAAAGGAAGUGGUUAAUACCAGGGAACAUUUCUCAAAUCAUAGUUUGAUAAGCGACCAUGCCUUGAAUACGGUUUCAUCAAAUAAUCUUUCAGUGGAAAGGCAUCAUCUCCAACAAUAACCCCCCACUUUGGAAAUCCUACUGAUCCAUUUUCUAUUGCUGCCUUCAAUGAACUAUUCCUAAAAACCGUGCUGUCAUUUACACGUCCAUUAGAUCCAAUAUCAAUAUAAGUAAAACAGUAAUUGUGAUCAACUAAGGCGAAAAGUAUGGUGCUGAAAUAUCCUUUGUAGUUGUAGAAGUCACUGUGACUAUUGUUGGGACACUGUAUGUUGAUAUGCUUGCCAUCUAGUGCGCCGCAGCAUUUUGGAAACUGCCAUCUCUCUUCAAAACCUUUUGCUAUUGCUGCCCAAUCGUUUGUAGAUGUAGGCAUCUAAAAAUAGAAAAUUUACUUGUUUAGUUGCAAUAAUUUGCAUUUAUUUCUUUCAGUUUGAAGAAAUUGCUCAGUACUCUGGAGCCUCGCAAUUGGAGCAAGAGAACUAUGAUGAAACUGAAGUGGAGGCAACAUCAAAUAAAGGUGAAAUGAAUGUUAGCCAAUCGAAUACUCAAGAGUUGAAUAUUCAAGAAUCAGACACCCUUCGCACCACAUUGUCUUCACCAAUCAGAGAUUUAACCAGGAAGCGACCCAUGAACGACAGUACAACAAAUGUGCCAACAACUUCACAUGGCAGCAUGAAUCGAUCAGCGACACCAAGCAUUCCACGAAAGGCAAAACAGAAGGCGUCUAACUCAAAGGAUACAGUUCCCCAAUAUGUCACAAGUGCCAUCCAGUCACUGCAGGAUCUAAAACGAUCCACUGAAAGGACUGAAGAUGAAUUUUUUCAUUUCGGAAAUAAUGUAGCCAGCCAACUGAGGCAACUUCCACUAGAUCUUGCUUUGCAUUGCCAGUCCGAAAUUAUGGCACUGUUAGCAAACCAACGUGUUACGUCGUUGCAGAGGUCACAGUCAUUUGUCAAUCGCUCACAAUUUCAUUCUGGACAUGCUGAAACACCCAUUCCACGAUACUCCUCCGAAACUAAUAGUACAGAUUCUGGGGGGCAAUAUCAGUUUAGUGAUAGGAACUACCAACAUUCCCAAGAACCAGAUACUAUAACUGCUGCCAUCAGAAGUAUUGGUGGCUUUGAUGCAUUAAAUUAAUAAUGUUUACUUUCACCUCGUUCACAUGUACGUUAUAACAAUAUUAUGUAUUUUCAGUUGCUUGUUUUUUCUAAUACAUACUAGAAAUAAAGUUGA
RNA transcript from Photinus pyralis (common eastern firefly), 1378 nucleotides. RefSeq lists it as uncharacterized. Lineage: Eukaryota; Metazoa; Arthropoda; Insecta; Coleoptera; Lampyridae. The record is from RefSeq and is a predicted model, not a curated record. The transcript is spliced from 2 exons.